This 72-nucleotide transfer RNA is filed under the name Stegodyphus mimosarum. It matches the Rfam family "tRNA". From Rfam's summary of the family: Transfer RNA (tRNA) molecules are approximately 80 nucleotides in length. Their secondary structure includes four short double-helical elements and three loops (D, anti-codon, and T loops). The record is from Rfam by way of RNAcentral. Lineage: Eukaryota; Metazoa; Arthropoda; Arachnida; Araneae; Eresidae.
GCCUUUGUGGUGCAGUGAUCAGCAUGCUCGAUGAGUAUUCAAGAGGUCCGUGGUUCGAAUCCCGCGAGGGCA